This 475-nucleotide ribosomal RNA is filed under the name uncultured bacterium. Its description in RNAcentral is "partial 16S ribosomal RNA". It matches the Rfam family "Bacterial small subunit ribosomal RNA", at positions 28 to 523 of the family's 1533-position model. The record is from RNAcentral.
GAUGAACGCUGGCGGCGUGCUUAACACAUGCAAGUCGAGCGAGUGAGUUCUUCGGAACGAUCUAGCGGCGGACGGGUGAGUAACACGUGGGCAACCUGCCUCAUAGAGGGGAAUAGCCUCCCGAAAGGAGAUUAAUACCGCAUAAAAUUAUCGAGUGGCAUCACACGAUAAUCAAAGGAGCAAUCCGCUAUGAGAUGGGCCCGCGGCGCAUUAGCUAGUUGGUGAGGUAACGGCUCACCAAGGCGACGAUGCGUAGCCGACCUGAGAGGGUGAUCGGCCACAUUGGGACUGAGACACGGCCCAGACUCCUACGGGAGGCAGCAGUGGGGAAUAUUGCACAAUGGGGGAAACCCUGAUGCAGCAACGCCGCGUGAGUGAUGAAGGUCUUCGGAUUGUAAAGCUCUGUCUUUGGGGACGAUAAUGACGGUACCCAAGGAGGAAGCCACGGCUAACUACGUGCCAGCAGCCGCGGUAA